This 253-nucleotide ribosomal RNA is filed under the name uncultured bacterium. RNAcentral describes it as "partial 16S ribosomal RNA". It matches the Rfam family "Bacterial small subunit ribosomal RNA", at positions 524 to 776 of the family's 1533-position model. The record is from RNAcentral.
UCCGUAGGUGGCAAGCGUUGUCCGGAUUUAUUGGGUUUAAAGGGUGCGUAGGCGGUCCUAUAAGUCAGUGCUGAAAUAUCCCGGCUUAACCGGGAGGGUGGCAUUGAUACUGCAGGACUUGAGUAAAGUUGAGGUAGGCGGAAUUGACGGUGUAGCGGUGAAAUGCUUAGAUAUCGUCAAGAACACCGAUAGUGAAGACAGCUUACUAAACUUUAACUGACGCUGAGGCACGAAAGGGUGGGGAUCAAACAGG